This is a long non-coding RNA of Nymphaea colorata (pocket water lily), 730 nucleotides long. RefSeq lists it as uncharacterized. The transcript is spliced from 2 exons. NCBI's taxonomy places the organism in Eukaryota, Viridiplantae, Streptophyta, Magnoliopsida, Nymphaeales, Nymphaeaceae. The record is from RefSeq and is a predicted model, not a curated record.
UCCCUCAACCGCGUCUUGUUCUGCCUCUUGCCCCCUCAGUGCCUCUCUCUCUCUCUCUCUCUCUCCCUCUCUCUCUCUCUUUCUUGUCUCCAUGCUCUCAUCUCUCUUCCUUUUCUCACUGGUUCAGUGGAAAACUCAAUGGCUUCAUACUGCCUAGAAAAGUAGCUAAUGACAUUGUACGUUCGGUAGGGCCAAAUUUUUUUUUCCAUGAAGCACUAAAUAUAGAUGGUAAACACAAUUUCAAUUGAAGAUGGGGCUGCCCCAGAUGUCUUGGGGAUACACCAUUACUCCACAUGACCCAAGUUCACUUAAGUUUCAAUACUAAAUUAACAUUUCGAUGAGUGGGCUUGAUGGGGGCAUACGCCCCAUUGUUACCCGACCUUCCUUCUCCCCAGUGUACAUUGCUUCUUUGACCCUUUAUCCUCUCUGUCUCUUUCAAAGCAGCAUGGAAAGGCUUUGGUAAGACGCCAACAGGAGAGGCGAAGCUGGAUAGUGAGUGCAUUUCUAAAGAUCAAGCUGCAUAUUUCCAAACACCUGCUGGGAGACAAGACCUGGCUUUCUGUAACGUGGAUGCAGGUAAUUUGUAACAUUGUUCUACAUGUUACGGAUUGUGUCAUCAGGAAUGUUGUCGCUCUUCGUUAUCAAUGGAAUCGACCACGUACUGUUUGAUAGCACACGUGGUAACGUUAAGGCUGCAUUACAGAAUAUCUUCAAUUACGUGUUGUCAACA